This is a non-coding RNA of Pelobates cultripes (western spadefoot toad), 212 nucleotides long. Lineage: Eukaryota; Metazoa; Chordata; Amphibia; Anura; Pelobatidae. The record is from the annotation of a GenBank genome assembly.
CUGUCUAUAUGAGCCUGUCUCAGACUGAACUGCGUGUCUCCAUAAGCUUGACUUUGUGAGUCUACAUCUGUCUGCAUUAAACAGCCUUUGUCUGCAUGCCUGCGUGAUUCUGUUUGUCUCCACGGGCCUGUGUCUGUCUCUGUCUACACGAGCCUGUGUCUGUCUCUGUCUACACGAGCUUGUCUCUGCCUCCUCUGUGUUCUUUUAUUUGC